This 22-nucleotide non-coding RNA is filed under the name Arabidopsis thaliana (thale cress). The record is from RNAcentral. Lineage: Eukaryota; Viridiplantae; Streptophyta; Magnoliopsida; Brassicales; Brassicaceae.
UUGUGGUGUUUACUGUUAAGCC